CCCUCCUCACAAUGCUUCCCUGUUCAGUGCAAGCAAACGAGGACUAUGAGGACUAUGAGUACGAUGAGCUUCCAGCCAGGGACGACCCAGGUGCCCCUCUGCAGCCCGUGACACCCCUGCAGCUGUUUGAGGGUCGGAGGAACCGCCGCAGGAGGGAGGCGCCCAAGGUGGUGGAGGAGCAGGAGUCCAGGGUCCACUACACCGUGUGCAUCUGGCGGAACGGCAAGGUGGGGCUCUCUGGCAUGGCCAUCGCAGACAUCACCCUCCUGAGUGGAUUCCACGCCCUGCGUGCUGACCUAGAGAAGGUGUGGUCAGACCCCAGGGCAACCCCCUCUGCCCGGGUGCCGAGCCCUGUCAUGUGCAGGGCCUGUGACCUGUGACCACCUCCCCUUUUCCACAGCUGACCUCCCUCUCUGACCGUUAUGUGAGUCACUUUGAGACCGAGGGGCCCCACGUCCUGCUGUAUUUUGACUCGGUGAGUGGGGAGAGGUGACGUAGGAAUGGACUCGAUGGCACUGGGUGUACUGAGUGUGUGUUAGGAGGUUUCUCAGGAGACAGCUCUGUCAGCGGCCGGUGCUCUUGGGGACUUGAUGUCAUCAGCGAGAAGGAGGAGGAUGUGAGCCUGUGAGACACAGCAGAGUAAGGGGCAGACGUGCAGGUGGCAGGGGCCAGUGCCAGUCAGCGGGGACCCUCGGGGAUUGAGAGGGAUGCUUCGUAAAGCCGGUUUUAUUCAGCUUGAGGGGCUGCCUUUGUUUUUUUGUUGAACUUCCUUUUUUUUUUAUAUUAAAGUAUAUUUUCUUUUACAAAGUGACAGUGGCCAUAGAUGACAGCUGUAUUUGUCUUUUCACGGCCUUAUUUGGCUAAAAUAG
Molecule: long non-coding RNA, 869 nt
Filed under: Rhinopithecus bieti (black snub-nosed monkey)
Lineage: Eukaryota; Metazoa; Chordata; Mammalia; Primates; Cercopithecidae
Description: lncRNA (ENSRBIG00000045333.1)
Source: RNAcentral